This 326-nucleotide long non-coding RNA is filed under the name Elaeis guineensis (African oil palm). RNAcentral describes it as "long non-coding RNA (EGUI_LNC046550)". The record is from RNAcentral. Lineage: Eukaryota; Viridiplantae; Streptophyta; Magnoliopsida; Arecales; Arecaceae.
CAGUAGCCCCAUGCCUCUCAAAAGUCUUCCCAUGCCUCCCUCUCUUCUUCCUCUUGGUUCUAACACCCAAGAGUAUUGGGCGUCCUCCAUCUCCACAGCCAAAAGGUGUUUGGCCAUCCCUCCUUGCUUACUGAUUUUUAGAUCUUGGUUACUUCAUUAUCAAGAAAAGAAAAGCAAGAAAAGAAAAGAUGAAAAAGAUCAAGAAAAGGAUCAAAGAGUUGAUCGCAAUCCAGAUUUCAUUCAGAUUCGCAAGGUGAUCAUUCUUAGAAAAAAAGAUCAACACUAUAGAGGACUGUUCUAGACCGAUUCUGAGUAGAUAUCCAUAG